This 835-nucleotide ribosomal RNA is filed under the name Burkholderia cenocepacia. Its description in RNAcentral is "bacterial LSU rRNA". It matches the Rfam family "Bacterial large subunit ribosomal RNA", at positions 169 to 1043 of the family's 2925-position model. Lineage: Bacteria; Pseudomonadati; Pseudomonadota; Betaproteobacteria; Burkholderiales; Burkholderiaceae. The record is from RNAcentral.
GCCAUGCGAAGCGAACGCGGUGAACUGAAACAUCUAAGUAACCGCAGGAAAAGAAAUCAACCGAGAUUCCCAAAGUAGUGGCGAGCGAAAUGGGAUGAGCCUUGCACUCUUUAUUUGUAUUGUUAGCCGAACGCUCUGGAAAGUGCGGCCAUAGCAGGUGAUAGCCCUGUAGGCGAAAACAGUAUGAAAGAACUAGGUGUGCGACAAGUAGGGCGGGACACGUGAAAUCCUGUCUGAAGAUGGGGGGACCAUCCUCCAAGGCUAAAUACUCGUGAUCGACCGAUAGUGAACCAGUACCGUGAGGGAAAGGCGAAAAGAACCCCGGGAGGGGAGUGAAAUAGAUCCUGAAACCGCAUGCAUACAAACAGUCGGAGCCUCGUAAGGGGUGACGGCGUACCUUUUGUAUAAUGGGUCAGCGACUUACGUUCAGUAGCAAGCUUAACCGUAUAGGGCAGGCGUAGCGAAAGCGAGUCCGAAUAGGGCGUUCAGUUGCUGGGCGUAGACCCGAAACCAGGUGAUCUAUCCAUGGCCAGGAUGAAGGUGCGGUAACACGUACUGGAGGUCCGAACCCACUAACGUUGAAAAGUUAGGGGAUGAGCUGUGGAUAGGGGUGAAAGGCUAAACAAACCUGGAAAUAGCUGGUUCUCUCCGAAAACUAUUUAGGUAGUGCCUCGUGUCUCACCUUCGGGGGUAGAGCACUGUCAUGGUUGGGGGGUCUAUUGCAGAUUACCCCGCCAUAGCAAACUCCGAAUACCGAAGAGUGCAAUCACGGGAGACAGACAUCGGGUGCUAACGUCCGGUGUCAAGAGGGAAACAACCCAGACCGCCAGCUAAG